UGCCUGGUAGCUCAGUCGGUAGAGCAGUCGCCCUAAGCGACCGUCGCAGGUUCGAGUCCAGCCCAGGCCA
Molecule: transfer RNA, 70 nt
Filed under: Pseudomonas indica
Lineage: Bacteria; Pseudomonadati; Pseudomonadota; Gammaproteobacteria; Pseudomonadales; Pseudomonadaceae
Rfam family: tRNA
About the family: Transfer RNA (tRNA) molecules are approximately 80 nucleotides in length. Their secondary structure includes four short double-helical elements and three loops (D, anti-codon, and T loops).
Source: Rfam by way of RNAcentral